GGGCCUUUAACUCAGUCGGUUAGAGUAGCUGACUCAUAAUCAGCAGGUCACAGGUUCGAACCCUGUAAGGCCCACCA
RNAcentral lists this transfer RNA (77 nucleotides) under Prevotellaceae bacterium. RNAcentral describes it as "tRNA-Met". It matches the Rfam family "tRNA". Rfam says of the family: Transfer RNA (tRNA) molecules are approximately 80 nucleotides in length. Their secondary structure includes four short double-helical elements and three loops (D, anti-codon, and T loops). Further hydrogen bonds mediate the characteristic L-shaped molecular structure. tRNAs have two regions of fundamental functional importance: the anti-codon, which is responsible for specific mRNA codon recognition, and the 3' end, to which the tRNAs corresponding amino acid is attached (by aminoacyl-tRNA synthetases). tRNAs cope with the degeneracy of the genetic code in two manners: having more than one tRNA (with a specific anti-codon) for a particular amino acid; and 'wobble' base-pairing, i.e. permitting non-standard base-pairing at the 3rd anti-codon position. The record is from RNAcentral. Lineage: Bacteria; Pseudomonadati; Bacteroidota; Bacteroidia; Bacteroidales; Prevotellaceae.